RNAcentral lists this ribosomal RNA (438 nucleotides) under uncultured bacterium. RNAcentral's name for it is "bacterial SSU rRNA". It matches the Rfam family "Bacterial small subunit ribosomal RNA", at positions 338 to 793 of the family's 1533-position model. The record is from RNAcentral.
CCUACGGGAGGCAGCAGUGGGGAAUCUUAGACAAUGGGCGCAAGCCUGAUCUAGCCAUGCCGCGUGUGUGAUGAAGGCCUUAGGGUCGUAAAGCACUUUCGCCAGAGAUGAUAAUGACGGUAUCUGGUGAAGAAACCCCGGCUAACUCCGUGCCAGCAGCCGCGGUAAUACGGAGGGGGUUAGCGUUGUUCGGAAUUACUGGGCGUAAAGCGUACGUAGGCGGAUUAGUAAGUUAGGGGUGAAAUCCCAGGGCUCAACCCUGGAACUGCCUUUAAAACUCUUGGUCUAGAGUUCGAGAGAGGUGAGUGGAAUUCCAAGUGUAGAGGUGAAAUUCGUAGAUAUUUGGAGGAACACCAGUGGCGAAGGCGGCUCACUGGCUCGAUACUGACGCUGAGGUACUAAAGUGUGGGGAGCAAACAGGAUUAGAUACCCUGGUAG